CCUACGGGGUGCAGCAGUGAGGAAUAUUGGUCAAUGGGCGGAAGCCUGUACCAGCCAAGUAGCGUGCAGGAUGACGGCCCUACGGGUUGUAAACUGCUUUUAUACGGGAAUAACGCGCCUUACGUGUAGGGCUUUGCAUGUACCGUAUGAAUAAGGACCGGCUAAUUCCGUGCCAGCAGCCGCGGUAAUACGGAAGGUCCGGGCGUUAUCCGGAUUUAUUGGGUUUAAAGGGAGCGUAGGCCGCAUGUCAAGCGUGCUGUGAAAUGUCCGGGCUCAACCCGGGCCUUGCAGCGCGAACUGGCGUGCUUGAGUCCGCGGAAAGCAGGCGGAAUUCGUCGUGUAGCGGUGAAAUGCUUAGAUAUGACGAAGAACCCCGAUUGCGAAGGCAGCUUGCUGCAGCGGAACUGACGCUGAUGCUCGAAAGCGCGGGUAUCGAACAGGAUUAGAUACCCUUGUAGUC
Molecule: ribosomal RNA, 460 nt
Filed under: uncultured bacterium
Lineage: Bacteria
Description: partial 16S ribosomal RNA
Rfam family: Bacterial small subunit ribosomal RNA
Source: RNAcentral